CCUUUAUUGACUGUGUUCUCAGUGCCUGGUGUUAGGUGAACUUUGCAUGUAUAUUAUCUCAUUUAAUUAUCCUUUUGUUGUUGUUGUUUUUUGUUUUUUGACACAGGGUCUCUGUUGCCAAGGCUGGAGUGCAGCGGCAUGAUCAUAGUUCAUUGCAGCCUCAACCUCCUGGACUCAAGUAUUCCUCCUGCCUCAGCCUCCUGAGUAGCUAGGACUACAAGAGUGAAAACUGAGGAAGAGACAGCAUUCAAGUAAUUUGCUCAAAGUCAUACAGCAAAGUGAUUGAAAUGCAUUUCCUUCUCUACCUGGUGAACUCCUACUUAUCCUUUAAACUCCUGCACAAAUGUCCCCUCAUUGAGAAGCCUUUCCUGACUCCUUCAGGCACAGCCUGUGGACUUGGUGUGGUGCACCCCAUACCCCCUUCUGUUACAGCACUGAUCUAUUUGUGUUAUGUGUUCACACAGCAACGGGGGUGACUUCUGUGUGCCGGGCACAAUACAGGAGCUUAGAAAAUCACAGUGAACAAAUAUCUGAAUCACUGCCCUCACGGAAUUUGUGGGGAAGGGUGACAUAGACCAUUAUCAAGUAAACACAAAUGAGAUAAUUUCAGGUAUAAUAGGUGCUAUUAAAAAAAAAAACAAACAAACAAAAAACAG
This 656-nucleotide long non-coding RNA is filed under the name Homo sapiens (human). RNAcentral describes it as "HSALNT0261644". The record is from RNAcentral. Lineage: Eukaryota; Metazoa; Chordata; Mammalia; Primates; Hominidae.